This 510-nucleotide long non-coding RNA is filed under the name Varanus komodoensis (Komodo dragon). RNAcentral describes it as "lncRNA (ENSVKKG00000006865.1)". The record is from RNAcentral. Lineage: Eukaryota; Metazoa; Chordata; Lepidosauria; Squamata; Varanidae.
CUUGAGUCCUGACUCCAAGGGUUUUUCCUGCCGAUACCACCACCUAGUCUUUUCUUUUGGUUGAAGCUGCAUUGUGGGACUAAUUCCUUUCAUCCAUUCACUAGGGUAGGGAAAGAGCAGCUAUGUCUAGAUGCACCAACUCCUUCUUGUGGCAAAUUUCCAUGGGUGCUUGGGAUUCCCAUAGAACCUGAGGUUCCUGUAAAUACUGAAACGACUCCACUGCAUUGCAACAUGAUUAGACAUUUGCAUCCAGGGCAGCGGAAGGAUUGCAUGGGCCCAGUGCCAUCUUACUAACACCGAACAAGAAGGAAAAUGUAAGUUUUUUUGCCCAUCAAGAACUGCUUCAAAUGAUGACACUUUUGCUUUUAUUUCAUUGUUGCUACAUAGCAUUUUGUAUUUAAGAUGCGUAGGCCUCCAUCACCAUGAUUUUCAGAUGCUCUAAUAUUGACUGACCCGCUAGUCAUUUCUCACACGCAGGACAGGUUCCUGUUAUACGAUGUGCCCCUUGCA